AGUGAACGCUGGCGGUAGGCCUAACACAUGCAAGUCGAACGGCAGCACAGUAAGAGCUUGCUCUUACGGGUGGCGAGUGGCGGACGGGUGAGGAAUACAUCGGAAUCUACUUUUUCGAGGGGGAUAACGUAGGGAAACUUACGCUAAUACCGCAUACGACCUACGGGUGAAAGCAGGGGAUCUUCGGACCUUGCGCGAUUGAAUGAGCCGAUGUCGGUUUAGGUAGUUGGCGGGGUAAAGGCCCACCAAGGCGACGAUCCGUAGCUGGUAUGAGAGGAUGAUCAGGCAGCCUGGAGCGGGGACACGGUCCAGACUCCUACGGGAGGCAGCAGUGGGGAAUAUUGGACAAUGGGCGCAAGCCUGAUCCAGCCAUACCGCGUGGGUGAAGAAGGCCUUCGGGUUGUAAAGCCCUUUUGUUGGGAAAGAAAAGCAGCAGGUUAAUACCCCGCUGUUCUGACGGUACCCAAAGAAUAAGCACCGGCUAACUUCGUG
Molecule: ribosomal RNA, 492 nt
Filed under: uncultured bacterium
Lineage: Bacteria
Description: partial 16S ribosomal RNA
Rfam family: Bacterial small subunit ribosomal RNA
Source: RNAcentral